UCCAGAAAUUUUUGGCACGCGGCGCUCCAUGUUUCAGGACCUCACUUUUCAGAUGCGGCUUCUGCCCUCCGCCCGCAGACCGCAUCCCAGCCGGGGCCCCGGGCCCCGGGCACGUGCCUGGCCCCGCCGGCGUCCGGGCGGGGGGCGACGCACCGGCUGGGGGUGCAGACAAGGGCCACGGUCCCCCCCUUCCCAGCUUCUCCACGUCCCUUGUACUUUUCAGUUCUUGAGCCUUUGCCAUGACAAAGGCUGCUGCGUAUGUUGUAUCGUAUUGAACCUGCUCCAGAGCCUUCGAGAUGCGAGUUGUUUAUUGGAAACUGAAGGGGGGGCGGGUCAUUUGGUCCAGAGGCAGAACCUGCGUUGGAAUCUGGGGCAUCUCAGUUCCCGCUAAGCCUGGAGGUGGUCAGAUGGCUCUCUCUCAUCAGCAGCAACUGCAGGCUGGUUGGAAAUGCAGAGAAAGGGGCCUAGCGCAGACCUGCUAAAUGGGAAUCGCUGAGGGGGCGGGAGAAGAUCUGUGCUUAACAAGCGCUGAGUGACUCUCAGGCACCCUAAAAGAGCCCCUACGUCAUAGCCUUUUUAAGGGUAAGGAAAAGGAAGCUGUGUUUUUUGAGGGCAAACUCCAUGCCAGGCACUAGGGGUUAGGCAUUUUCCUAAUUCUGUGAUCUAAUUCUCCCCAAGUCUUUUUUUUUUUUUUUUUUUGCAGGAGAGUAAACUGUAGUGCAGAGGAAACUUUCCAUGUGUGUAAAACGUUAACCUUAUAUAAAAUGGUAUAAGCUUACAUGUGCUGUUUGCUUGCACCUUAUAUGCGUGAAAUAUCCCUUAGAAGGAUAUCAAGAAGUUGUUAAUGUUGCAGUUACCUCCAAGGAAAGGAGGCAGGAUGCUAGAAGGACUGAGUUGGGAAGGUUUUUUUUUUUUCUGUGAGUCUUUGUAAAUUUUGUGAGUCUGCCACAUUGUUGAUGAAAAAUUAAUUAGUAGUUGAUGGUAAGAAAGAAAUGGGAAAUUUUAUUUGAGCCAACCUGAGGGUUAUAACCUGGGAGAUACUCUUUGAGAAAGCUCUGAGGACUGUUCCACCUUGUUAGAGGUCAAAGCAGUUAUGUAAGUUUUUGAGACAAAAGGAUUAUUUGUCGAAUGACGUGUUAUUUGUCAAAUUGACAGUUUGCAAAAUCCAGACCUACGUGUACAAAGUGAGUCAUGGGUCAUGGGUAGAUCAUGGCCCUUUACCAGAUUAAGAAGGAUGGUUAUCUCCUAAAGAGAUAUGACUCUUUAUGAGAUUAAGAAAGAAUGUUAUUACCUAAGGAGGUCUGGUUAAUGCAAUUGGACAACAUACACUAGUGGGGAGGGAGGAGGCCCAAACAGGCAGAGAAAAAAACUUUUAAAAAAUUUUCUUGUCUUGCCAUAAGAUAUGAAUGUUAUUUCAUCAUAUGAAUCUGUAUCUUAUUCCAAGUAAAAUUAAACAGGUAAAAAUUUUACUUAGAACGAUAUUAGAGCUGAAACCAGAAUUGGAAUUCAGUGCUGGCUGACUGCAGAUUCCAGGUUUUCCAUUGACUGCACAUGACUGACUUUUAAACAUAAAAUGUUCUAUAAAUUUGAGAUAUUGUUAAUAAUGAAAUAUUACUUAGAAAUUUAGUUUGUUUUUAACCUUUGAACAAUGACCAUGUCUAAUUCUGGUCCCUUCAUGACAUAUUGUAUGGUGCAUGAAAUUGUUCUUAUUUUCAUUAUUGGUAACAGCUAUAAAAUAACCGUAAAACAGACUGUAAAUGUAAUGCCUAGUCUCUGAGAAAUAUUGAUGUCAUUAAUUGAUAAUUGCAAAGGGAUUUGAGCUCUUUCAGUAGAGAUGGCUAAGUGCUGUUAUUCCAGAGACUAAUCAUUGCGAAUAAUUUUAUCAGUGUAUUUAUCUAUGAGGUUCCAUUUACAAUUAAUUAUGUAUAAGUGAUGCUUUUUAAUUUUUAUUACAGGAAUCUAUGUCUAAAAUAUAUGAAGAACAUCCUGGGUUGGGAUUCUGAUCAUUUAUUCUGCCACUCUUCGUGGGAAAUUGCAAAGGCAAUUCAGGGCUGUGUGGCUUUGGGCAUGUUACUUAACCUUUUAGUGCUUCAGUUUGUUCAUCUAUUGAAACAGAGCUCGUGAAAGUACUUGCCUUAGAGGCUCAUUAUGAGGAUAAAUUGAGUCAAGUCUGGACAGGUCAAGCUUUCCCAAGCUUGUGGAGGAAAGCAGGACAGAGGGAUUCCUUUCCAGCUUCCGUCUUUAUGGCUCCUGCCUUAUCCUGCUGAUCUGGCAGUGGCCAGUGAACCUGGGCCUGGCCCCCCGAUGCUCUGGAGGACUUCAUUACUGACAUCUGCCGUGGCCAGAUAUUCCAAUUUAAUAAAAAGGUAUUCAUAAUGUUCCUGGUUUCUGGGAAAUUCGGCUGCCUGAUCACCGCACCUUAUCAGCACUGAAGGUUCUCAGGAUCUGAGCCUUUGCCUAGUAACUUCCUAAAAGACUCCAGUUGCAAAGGAAUGAAUUCUGCCAGCAACUUGAGAGAACUUGAAGAUGGAUCCUCCCCUGGUCAAACCUCCAAAUGAGAAUGCAGCCUGGUUGGCACCUGGAUUCCAGUCUUAUGGGACCCUGAGCAGAGGACCCAGUUAGGCCAUGCUCCGGCCUGACCCACAGACACUAUAAGUGCACAAAAGCAUAAUGAAGAAAAAACACAUGGGUGACUAUCUUCUUAAUUUUGGGUUAUCAAAAAAUGUAAUUUGAUCAUUCAGAGUCAAGAAGUACUAGAAAAUGACUUCCCUGAUGGUGCAGUGGUUAAGAAUCCACCUGCCAAUGCAGGGGACACAGAUCCCUGGCCUGGGAAGAUCCCACAUACUGCAGAGCAACUAAGCCCAUGCGCCACAACUACUGAGCCUGCGCUCUAGAGCCCACAAGCCACAACUCCUGAGCUCGAGUGCUGCAACUCCUGAGGUCCGCACACCUAGAGCCCAUGCUCCGCAACAAGAGAAGCCACCGCACUGAGAAGCCCGUGCAUCACAAUGAAGAGUAGCCCCCGCUCGCUGAAACUAGAGAAAGCCUGUGCGCAGCAACGAAGACAUAAUGCAGCCAAUAAAUAAAUAAAUUUAUUUUAAAAAAUUCUGUCUUACAGCCUCCACAGGGAACCAACUCUGCCAACACCUUGAUUUGAGGCUUCUAGCCUCCAGAACUGUGAGGGAAUACAUUUCUUUUAAGUACCCCAGUUUGUGGCAAUUUGCUACUGGCAGCCCUAGGAAAAGAAUACAGCCCCAUCUUUCCAUGAAUCUCCAUGUAUACGCUAUGACUUCUUUUAACCUUUUUUCUUUUCAAACUUUCCAGUGAUGAGCAUGCAUUAUGCUUGUAAAGAGAAAAUAAACUUUAUUAAGAAAGAGGGUGAGGAUGUGAAAAUGCAAAGCUGGAGGAAAAGGAAGACCACUCAGAGUCUGGCAGAGGUGGGUGCAUGUGACUCUGUGCUCAAGGCUGAGAUGCACAUGGGUUAGCUCUCAGGAUGAGAGACCAAAACCACCUGUGUCAACAAGAUUGCUGUGUAUUCCAGAAAGUUGUACAGGAAGAUACAA
This is a long non-coding RNA of Hippopotamus amphibius kiboko, 3563 nucleotides long. RefSeq lists it as uncharacterized. NCBI's taxonomy places the organism in Eukaryota, Metazoa, Chordata, Mammalia, Artiodactyla, Hippopotamidae. The transcript is spliced from 6 exons. The record is from RefSeq and is a predicted model, not a curated record.